GAUGAACGCUGGCGGCGUGCCUAAUACAUGCAAGUCGAGCGAACGGACGAGAAGCUUGCUUCUCUGAUGUUAGCGGCGGACGGGUGAGUAACACGUGGAUAACCUACCUAUAAGACUGGGAUAACUUCGGGAAACCGGAGCUAAUACCGGAUAAUAUUUUGAACCGCAUGGUUCAAAAGUGAAAGACGGUCUUGCUGUCACUUAUAGAUGGAUCCGCGCUGCAUUAGCUAGUUGGUAAGGUAACGGCUUACCAAGGCAACGAUGCAUAGCCGACCUGAGAGGGUGAUCGGCCACACUGGAACUGAGACACGGUCCAGACUCCUACGGGAGGCAGCAGUAGGGAAUCUUCCGCGAUGGGCGAAAGCCUGACGGAGCAACGCCGCGUGAGUGAUGAAGGUCUUCGGAUCGUAAAACUCUGUUAUUAGGGAAGAACAUAUGUGUAAGUAACUGCGCACAUCUUGACGGUACCUAAUCAGAAAGCCACGGCUAACUACGUG
This 497-nucleotide ribosomal RNA is filed under the name uncultured bacterium. Its description in RNAcentral is "partial 16S ribosomal RNA". It matches the Rfam family "Bacterial small subunit ribosomal RNA", at positions 28 to 507 of the family's 1533-position model. The record is from RNAcentral.